CUCCAGAGGAGCUUCUGGCAAUGUUUCUGAAAUCAGGGAACCAGCGGCCCCAGUGGGGUUUGAUACUGAAAGAAAGCCUUCUAAGCAGAAACAUUAGUUCUUGUCAAGGGUCAGAGUAGGUCUCAGCAUGGUGGGCUUAGUGAAGAGGAAAGUAGGCUGGGAAGCCGGCCUGCAGAGUGAGUAGGGGAAAAUCUACGCAGCCCCCGAGAGGGAAGAGGAGACAAAUUUAGGUUAGACAAUCCCAAAGAGCAUCAAGUUACUGAGCCACCGUCUUUCUGGGGACAAAAAGGUCUCAUGUAAAAGAAUGAGCUCACACCCGGGUGGGACGUUUUGCAAUUUGAUGGAGAGGAUGUCGAGUACGAUGAAAGGCCUUCAGACCAGCGAUCAGAACUUGAGAAUGACCUGCUUCUUCCACUUACAGCUCAGUGUUGGCUGAAACACAUGCAACUCUAUAGAUCACUGGGGACUCAUCCUGCAGAUAUCAUUCAAGGUAUCCGGUUCAGAAUCUAUCACCAGCUCAGACUGUAGCCUCUGAAGAGAUCUCAGAUGUUUUGUGCCUUAUACAUUUAAUUCUGAGAUCAUAGAGCCCAAGGAGGUUUUGAGGACCCUCUACCCACACCUUCAGAUGUUUUCAGAGGAUUUGCUGGCAGGGCUGGGCCACUGGGCCUUGCUGGGCUCUAAUUUUCCUACCCACGUGUGUCCUAUAGACCGUGAAUUUUCUUCUAAACACUCUUGACUUUUCACUUGUUAAAUUAAAGCAUUUUCUUAAAGAAAAGAUUAAAACCAAGA
RNAcentral lists this long non-coding RNA (789 nucleotides) under Homo sapiens (human). RNAcentral's name for it is "HSALNT0115144". Lineage: Eukaryota; Metazoa; Chordata; Mammalia; Primates; Hominidae. The record is from RNAcentral.